Molecule: unclassified non-coding RNA, 375 nt
Filed under: uncultured fungus
Lineage: Eukaryota; Fungi
Description: sequence contains ITS2
Rfam family: 5.8S ribosomal RNA (bases 1-154)
Source: RNAcentral
AACUUUCGGCAAUGGAUCUCUUGGUUCUGGCAUCGAUGAAGAACGCAGCGAAAUGCGAUAAGUAAUGUGAAUUGCAGCGUUCAGUGAAUCAUCGAAUCUUUGAACGCACAUUGCGCCCGUCAGUAUUCUGACGGGCAUGCCUGUCCGAGCGUCAUUUCAACCCUCAAGCACCGCUUGGCGUUGGCGGAUUGCGUGCCCUUGCGGCGCUGCAACCGCCCAAAUACAGUGGCGGUCCCGCUGCGGCUCCCUUUGCGUAGUAACUCACCUCGCACUGGACCGGGCGGCGGCCUGCCGUAAAACCCCAACUUACGAAAUGUUGACCUCGGAUCAGGUAGGAAUACCCGCUGAACUUAAGCAUAUCAAUAAGCGGAGGCU